RNAcentral lists this ribosomal RNA (200 nucleotides) under uncultured bacterium. Its description in RNAcentral is "partial 16S ribosomal RNA". It matches the Rfam family "Bacterial small subunit ribosomal RNA", at positions 28 to 227 of the family's 1533-position model. The record is from RNAcentral.
GAUGAACGCUAGCGGCAGGCCUAAUACAUGCAAGUCGGACGGGAUUGAGGAGCUUGCUCUUCAUGAGAGUGGCGCACGGGUGCGUAACACGUAUGUAACCUACCUUGUUCAGGGGGAUAGCCUCUCGAAAGAGAGAUUAAGACCGCAUAACAUUAAGCUGUGGCAUCACAGGUUAAUCAAAUAUUUAUAGGAACAAGAUG